UACGAAGGGGGCUAGCGUUGUUCGGAAUCACUGGGCGUAAAGCGCAUGCAGGCGGAUCGUUAAGUCGGGGGUGAAAUCCCGAGGCUCAACCUCGGAACUGCCUUCGAUACUGGCGAUCUUGAGUCCGGGAGAGGUGAGUGGAACUGCGAGUGUAGAGGUGAAAUUCGUAGAUAUUCGCAAGAACACCAGUGGCGAAGGCGGCUCACUGGCCCGGUACUGACGCUCAGGUGCGAAAGCGUGGGGAGCAAAC
Molecule: ribosomal RNA, 250 nt
Filed under: uncultured bacterium
Lineage: Bacteria
Description: partial 16S ribosomal RNA
Rfam family: Bacterial small subunit ribosomal RNA
Source: RNAcentral